This 72-nucleotide transfer RNA is filed under the name bacterium. RNAcentral's name for it is "tRNA-Ile". It matches the Rfam family "tRNA". Rfam says of the family: Transfer RNA (tRNA) molecules are approximately 80 nucleotides in length. Their secondary structure includes four short double-helical elements and three loops (D, anti-codon, and T loops). The record is from RNAcentral.
GGAAUUGUAGCUCAGUGGUAGAGCACUCGGCUGAUAACCGAGCGGUCACAAGUUCAAAUCUUGUCGAUUCCA